RNAcentral lists this unclassified non-coding RNA (254 nucleotides) under uncultured Gemmatimonadota bacterium. Its description in RNAcentral is "uncultured Gemmatimonadetes bacterium contains 16S-23S intergenic spacer region". It matches the Rfam family "Bacterial small subunit ribosomal RNA", at positions 524 to 776 of the family's 1533-position model. Lineage: Bacteria; Pseudomonadati; Gemmatimonadota. The record is from RNAcentral.
UACGAAGGGUGCGAGCGUUGUUCGGAAUUAUUGGGCGUAAAGCGCACGUAGGCGGCUCGGUAAGUCUCACUGUGAAAGCCCGGGGCUCAACCCCGGGAGGCCAGGAGAUACUGUCGAGCUGGAGACAAGUAGUGGCGAGUAGAAUUCCGGGUGUAGCGGUGGAAUGCGUAGAGAUCCGGAGGAAUACCAGAGGCGAAGGCGGCUCGCUGGACUUGGUCUGACGCUGAGGUGCGAAAGCGUGGGGAGCGAACAGG